Molecule: ribosomal RNA, 253 nt
Filed under: uncultured bacterium
Lineage: Bacteria
Description: partial 16S ribosomal RNA
Rfam family: Bacterial small subunit ribosomal RNA
Source: RNAcentral
UACGUAGGGAGCGAGCGUUGUCCGGAAUCAUUGGGCGUAAAGCGCGCGUAGGUGGCUUCGUAAGUCCGUUGUGAAAGUCAAAGGCUCAACCUUUGAAAGCCGAUGGAUACUGCGGAGCUAGAGUACGGAAGAGGCGAGUGGAAUUCCUGGUGUAGCGGUGGAAUGCGCAGAUAUCAGGAGGAACACCGGUGGCGAAGGCGACAUCCUGGACCGGUAUUGACGCUGAGGCGCGAAAGCGUGGGGAGCAAACAGG